Molecule: non-coding RNA, 94 nt
Organism: Paramuricea clavata
Lineage: Eukaryota; Metazoa; Cnidaria; Anthozoa; Malacalcyonacea; Plexauridae
Source: the annotation of a GenBank genome assembly
CUACCGUUAGCUCAGUUGGUAGAGCAAACUGAGGACUGUAGUUAUUACCAAGUCAGUAUUCCUUAGGUCACCCGUUCGAACCUGGUACGGUAGA